UUCUUCUUCCGUGUUGCAUGUGGUUGUGUAACUUCUCGCAGAGUAUUGUGGUGGUUUGAAGGAGGAUGGUCCCUUCUUAGUGAAAGAGAUUGUGGCCUUGUUGGAGGAGGUGCGUCACUGGGCGUGGUCUGUGAGGUUUUAAAAGCCCACAUUAGGCCCAGUCUAGAUUUCUCUCUGCAGAAGUUGACGUCUUUGCCUGGCACUUGUGGUGCACAUGUGAGACCUCAGGUACUGCUCCAGCACCAUGUCUGUCUGCCUGCCACCAUGCUCCCCUCCAUGGUGAUAAUGGACUAACCUCUAAAACUGUAAGCCAGCCCCCAGUUCAAUACCUUCUUCUAUAAACUGCCUUGGUCACGGUGUCUCUUCACUGCAAUAGAACAGCGACUAAGAUAAAUACAUUUGGGGGUCUUUGGUUUCUGCAGACUUAAAAAGAUUAGGAGAGCCAGGCAGUGGUGGCACACCCCUUUAAUUCUAGCACUUGGGAGGCAGAGACAGGUGGAUGUCUCUGAGUCCGAGGCCAGGCUGGUUUACAGAGUGAAUUCAAGAAAGCCAGGGCUACCCAGUGAAUUGCAAAACCAAAGCAAAACAACAGAAUGAGAAGAGCUCUGGUCCAUGCCUUGGAGAAAAUACUGGAGAGUAAGGGUCAGGGCACAUGAAAAUUUCCAAGUCAUGAUAUGAAGACACAAUCUACUCCGUGGCAGGUCCUAACCCCACACACUCCUGGGGAUGGUCCCCCCACCCCCCAGGUUCGAGUAGAAGCCAAGGUUUUGCACUUUCUAAGCAAACACCUUACUAUUGAGUUGUAUCACCAGCACCUUUCUGUUUGUUUUGAGAUAGAACCUCAGUUUGUAGCCCAGGCUAGCUGUGGCCUCUCAGCCUUACAAGUGCUAGGAUUAUAAGCAGGCACCUGGUCUAUAGCAAUCUUGGGAGGAGUGGACCCCUCUGACUGGGCUCCCAGGGACCACUGAAACCUGUUUCCUCGUCUAACUACUAAGGUCACACAGAGCUCCUGGGAAGUCAGAGGUCACUCAUGUCCACAGGGUGGGCAGUCAUUUUAAUCCAUGGCCAACUUGUCAGGAAGGAAGCAACUAUGACUCAGCUAAGGUGACGAAUCCUGCCACAGCUGGCACUGUCUUUUUAUUCUUGACAGUCUGCAGGGGCCGGUCUGCACUCUACUUCCGAGCUCUGGCAUUCAUUAAGAGAGGCAGGAACCUGAACCUGAGUGCCCAGGCUAGCCCCCUGACAAAUUGUCCCUGGAGAUCUUCUGCAGGACAGAAAGGGAGAGACUUUAAAAAAGGAGACUCCUAGGUAGAAGCCAGGACCACAACUCUGUCUUGCAUGGAACUAGCAAUAGACAGCUGACUAAGACACAGAGACAGUCUUUCAAGUGACAAAGAUGUUGGAAACAAUGAAGAAGAAUUUCAGCAUAUAAGGCUGCAAGGAAAACUACAUUUACAGUAAGGAGAAAAGAUGAAAAUAGUAUAAGAGGAAAUUAAAACUCUAACAGUAACCAAAAUGAGAUCAGAAGACAGGCCCACUGCUGCUGUGGGCCUUCAUCAUUGACAACCAUCGAGUGACCAACAAUCAUCACAUGACCAAUAACCAUCACAUGACCAACAACCAUCACAUGACCAAUAAUCAUCACAUGACCGAGUAGAUGAUUUCUCCAGAGGACACACACCAACCAGGGGCGCUUGGAUUUACCUAACUUAGAAGAGUUGACUUGUUUGGUAAGUCAAGUCUCCCCGGGUACUGUAAAGAGUGGCACAUUGUUCACUUUUGCAGUUGUUUGUUUGAUUUGGUUUUGAGACAGAGUGUCCUAUAACCCAGGCUGGCCUUGAACUGGCUAUAUAGCUGUCUUAGCUAAUUUCCCUGUUUUAAAAUACCCCAACAAAAGCAUUUUAGGAAAGAAGCGUUUACUUUGGUUCAAGGAAACAGACCCUCUGGAUAAGAAAGUCAAGACAGCAAGCCUGUGGCAGCAGGUCUCAUCAUAUACACAAUCGGGAAGCAGAGUGCAUCGAAUGCUAGUGUUCAGCUAACUUUCUCCUUUUUAUACAGUCUAUACCAGAGUCCAUUUUUAGGGUGGGUCUGUGUUGAUUUUCUACUAUGAUAAGAUACCAUAACCAAGGCAACUUACAAGAGAAAGUUGGGGCUUGCAGUUUCAGAGGGUCUAGGUCCGUGACCGCCAUGGCAUGAGCAUGGCAUCAGGUAGGCAGGCAUGGUGUUGGAGCAGUAGCUGAUGGCUCCUGUUCUGAGACACAACCUCAAGGCAGAGAGAGAUAACCGGGAGUAGAACGAGCUUUCGAUAUCUCCAAGCCUGCCCCCAGUGACACAUCUCUUCCAACAAGACCACACCUCCUGAUCCUUCCCAAACAGUUCUACCACCUGUGAUCAAGUAUUCAAAUAUAUGUCGAUAGAGGUCAUUCUCAUUCAAACCCCACAAUGUUUCCUCACUUUAGUCAGCCUAAAUUACAUAAUCCCUCACAGGUAUGGCCAGAGACUAAAUAUCCGCCACAGGUAUGUCGAGAGGCUUGCCUCCCAGGUGACUCCAGAGCUCAAGUUGACAAUUGAGAGUAACUACCACAGUAGCCCAGGAGGACAAUCCUCCUGCCUCCUCUCACCAAGUGCUACAAUUACAGGCAUAGACCACAAUGCCAAGGCACAGAUGUUCUCUAAAAAGCCUGCCUAUCAAGAUAAGGAGAUUAGUUGCUCCCUGUCAGGAAGGACUGAUGACCUGACUGCUAUAGAUGCUCCAAGCAGACCAUUUGGGAGCGGGGAGCACACAGUAAAUAAAUCACACCCUUCAGGUCACGUGAGACUAUAUUAAAUGGUCUCUUGAAUCUAUUUUUCCACAGUUGUGUUGCACAAGCUUACUCCUUUUCCCCUCUGAGCUUUUCUAUUAAACUUUCAUAUUCUAAACAAACUACAAUGCAAUUUGGGAGUUGUCUGGCAUCGGGAUGGAUAUUAAUAGAAAAUCUGUAUGUUUCAACUCCCCCACCCAUAAAAUAAGAAGCGUACCGUUAGUGUUCUGCGUAAAGCUGUGCUGUGAAAAAGCAAGCCCCACUUAAAUUCUAGUACUAAAGAAGGAAAUACAUGAAGUGUACGAAUCAGACGGGUGUCACAAGCUGAGCAAGCCCUAGUCCUCUGCUCCUACAUUCUAGGCAAAUCUUACAAAGGAAAACAUUUAAUUGGGGCUGACUUAUAGUCAGUGAAGGUCUAGUCCUUUAUCAUCACGGUAGGAAGCUUGGUAGCAUGACUUGGUGAUGGAGAAGGAAACGAGAGUUCUACAUCUUGAUUAGCAGAGAGUCGAAGGAGACUGACUGUACCAGCGGACAUAGCUUGAGUAUAGGAGAGCUCAAAUCCUACCCACACUUCUUCCAACAAGGCCACACUUCCUAAUAACGCCACUCCCUAGAGCCAAGCAUUCCAACACACGUGUCUAUGGGAGCCAUACUAUUCAAUGCACCAUACACGGUCUCACGAUUUAGCUCUGUUUGGCCUAGAACUCAAUAUGUAGACCAGGUUAAUCUGAAACUCAGAGAUCUACCUGACUCUGCCUCCCAAGACUUAGAGCUAAAGUGUGUGCCAUCGGUCAGCUUGCCUGGUUGUUGUUGGUUUAUUUUUAAUUUAAACAUGUUUUAGAUAGGGUCAUAUUACAGUUCAGGCUUGUGGCCUUGAAUUCUUUAUGUUCUACCAUUCACAGCCCGAGUGUUGGAAUUGUAAGUCAUGGAAUUAUGCUACCAAGACCAUUUUUGUUGCUUUUGGCUUCCGAGACAGGGUCUCACUAUGUAAUUCUUGAUCCUCCUGCCUCAGUUCCCUAAAUAUUGGGACCAAAUGAAUGAAUGAAUGAGUGAGUGAAUUAACAAAGCAGCUAGAGAAACACGACACACUGCAUACAAUGUCAAUGUUUUAUUCUCUGAACAAUCUAGAGCAGAAACAUCAUCUUUUUUUUUUUUCUUUUUUCUUUUUUUCGGAGCUGGGGACUGAACCCAGGGCCUUGCGCUUGCUAGGCAAGUGCUCUACCACUGAGCUAAAUCCCCAACCCCAGAAACAUCAUCUUUAUGAUGCUACAGAAAGAGCUAGUGAUGUAAAAGGCACCUGUAAUCUAAGCCCUUGGCAGACUGUGGAGGGGAAUCAUGAGUGUGAGGCCAGCCUGAGUCAAUCCUGAGACCAUCUGAAAAAGAAAAAAAAUCUUCCAGGACUCAGAUGAACUAGGACGAUGUUGUCACCAGCAGACCUGCACCAUGAGACAGAAUUGCUGAGAAAAUAUCCUGAGAGAGGAAGGGUAAUGAGAGCGGCCCAAGAGCAGAGAGAGGCUGUGGGUUUGUGGGAGGAAGACAGAACACCAUACAUCAUUGUGACUGGAUAAUGGUCCCGUCUAACUGAGGGUCAUAGGUGAACCCCUGAAGGGGGUCGGGACCCACAGAUUGAGAACCAGUGCACUAUGACCUUCAGAACAGGAGAUGGCCUGUGGAGGGAACUUCAAAGACAACAUUUCAGGAAUCAUUUCUCGAGUCUGAAGGGACUCUUCACCUCCCGCUCUUUAGUAGCUGGAUAGGUCAGAUUGACAGAACCCAUAGGAGAUCAAAAUCAGGAGGAGGUGGGGGCUUAGAAACGACGACGGCAAAGAUUUAAAAGGCACAAGGAGCUGAUGAAGAGGCAUGAGGCAGAGCACCUUAGAGAAAGUUCAGGCAGGAUGCCCUUCUGGCCUCGUGGAGGCCAGCCAGAGUGUGUCUCAAGAGUCUUCCAUGAGAAGAUUGCUAAAGGCACACGUUCUAAACCUACACGGCCCACAUCCUAACAGCCAUGUGAAGACCUUCCUCUUGCAGAGAAGAUUUUCAUUAAAGGUUCCUUAACCCAC
Molecule: long non-coding RNA, 4861 nt
Organism: Rattus norvegicus (Norway rat)
Lineage: Eukaryota; Metazoa; Chordata; Mammalia; Rodentia; Muridae
Source: RefSeq, a predicted model, not a curated record